CACACACACACACACACACACGUGAGAGAGAGAUAAGUUUCAUUUGUGUGUGUCGUGGAGGCGUUGUCUUUCCCUGUGUGGCAGGAAAAGUGCAAAGGUAAGAUCUUGCUUGUUUUUAAUAACGUUAUACGGCUAGAAGGCAGCAGGGGCAGACAGGGAAUUUCUUGAGAUUAUAUCAAAGAAUAAAGUGAUUGAAGAGAGUAAGGUAUUGAGAUGAAUCGCAUAUGAUUCAGACUUCACACCAAACACAGCAGAUAGUAGAUUCAGUAGAUGGGACGCGGGACCAAAAAUAUUUUGGGAACUUUUUAAAAAGAAGACCAUCAAAAGUUUUCAGGAUCUAAAAAAUCGGUAUGGAUUAAACAAUCAAGAUUUAUACAGAUAUCUACAGAUGCGGCAUUAUAUGGAGAAAACUAUAAAAAAGUUUAAUUCAGAUGAGCCUGAGUCAGGAAUCAUUAAGUUAUUCAUCUCAGCAUAUGAUUCAGACCAGGGAAAGAAACUAAUCACAAAACUAUAUAAAGAAGUGGAAAGAUUAAAGGGUAACAAUAUGACAUAUAUAAAAGAAAAGGGGGGAAAAGAGGCUGGGUGGCAGUUAUCAGAGGAGGAAUGGGACAAGGUAAAUGAAGGACAGUGGAAAACAACAUGCUCCCUCUCAUGGAGAGAAUAUGGUUGGAGGAACAUUGUAAGAUACUUUAUUACACCAACACAACAGAAAUCUCAAGACACACGACGUUGGAGACUGUGUGGGGAAAAUAAGGCCAACCAUUUUCAUAUCUUUUGGGGAUGCCCUUGUAUUAUACCUUUUUGGCAAGAGUUAAAGAAGAGUAUGGAAACAAUUCUGAAAGUGCAAAUUCCACUUUCAUUUGAAGUUUUAUAUUUGGGAAAAGAGAACCAGGAGAUUAAAUACAUAUUUCGAAUAAUGGUGGUGGUGGCUAAAAAGGCCAUCACCAGAAAAUGGCUAAAAAAAGAUCCACCAAAAAUAGAGGAUUGGGUAGAUGUAAUGCUCGAUAUAUAUAGAAUGGAGAAGCUGACUUUCUCAGCUAGACUAAAAUCAGAAACUUUUAAAAACUACUGGGAAAACUGGAUUGAUUUUGUGUCUCCAUUGAGAGUAGACUUUGUGCAAUAAGGACAGUGUGUAUUGCAGAGUGUUGACCCCCUUGGUUCAGGCUACAAACUUGUUUAUUGUUCAUUUAUUUAUUUGAUAUGUUUACCCCAAUCAGGAGACAAGGAACAAUGCAGGAGAGGUGUGAAAAUAAGGACAAGAGUGAAAAAGCGGUUCAUUUUACUUCACAUUUACUCUACUGUAACUUUACUUGAGAAUUCAUGUCCAAUUAUGUCUCUGCUCUGCGGUGGAAGUAUAGGAAUGUUUUAUACUGUUGUAAAAUUAUACACAUUAUGUAAAAUAUUGAUGGAAUAUUGAUAUGUGGAAUCAAUAAAAAAGAUAAUU
RNAcentral lists this unclassified non-coding RNA (1444 nucleotides) under Hevea brasiliensis (rubber tree). Lineage: Eukaryota; Viridiplantae; Streptophyta; Magnoliopsida; Malpighiales; Euphorbiaceae. The record is from RNAcentral.